UUAAAAAUCUACAAUAACGUAAAAAAAUAAAAAAAAGGCGUUGGUCACAGAAACUCUCAUUUGACUCUUGAACUAACGUGUCACUUGGGGCCUCUUAUCGCCUCACUCUCUCGCCGUCUCCGCUAUCAGAAAGAUCUGAGGUGUGCGUGGGAGCCCGGGACGAGGCCGGGCGAUGGCGGGGGGGAAGGAUGAGUGUGAAGGAUUGAUAGUCAUUUGGACUUCCUUGUACAAUCACGGUUUGGUAAAUUGUUAACUUUCAUUCUCUCAUUUUCUUCCGUGGAAUGGUAGAAUUUAAGACGUGGGGUUUUAUUUUGGCUGUCAAGAGGAUCAGUUUUCGAUCAAUCACUUAAAUUGUUAACUUCUUUUUUUUUCGUUUUGUUGUCAACAUUGUCCAUAUUCGAUUAUGAAAGCGUGGUUGCCUUAAGAUAGAUUACAAGGAAUGUUUAAAGCAGCUAAUGGCUUGUUUCUUGUGAUUGUGAAAGGCCAUUUUACACACACACACCCACACACACACAUCCCCCACCUUCUUUAACAACGCCGUCAUUUCGUAAUAUUCACUUGUUUAUCAUGCCAAUUCAGUUUAGUGUUGUGAAAUCCAACUACCGGAUUUGUAAAUGUUGUAUGUGAUCUUUUAACGAUGACUGAUGUAUUUCAUAUAUUUCAUCAAUGAUCAUAGCAGUAUUUGCUUUUCUGCUGUAAUUAUAUAUAUUGUUAGGUAAAUGUCAAAUACCUCUCACGAAUAUUACUUAUCACUUCUCAUUCUACUGAGUGUGUAUGACUAUAACCAAAAUUUAUUGCUUAACUAUUGGUGUUUUUAAAGAUCAUAAACAUUUCCUUCGCAUUUAAUGCCUCUAUAGCAAUGAAACUCGUCACUUCCUAAAUAUCGGUUAUUGUUAUUGAGUUUCCGUCUUUAUAGCAACUGAUCUAAGUGUUAUAAAGUUAAUUUGUAAUCAAGUCCAAUGUUUUUUAGUUUCGCUUAUUCUAGCUGUUAACUUGUAUCUUUAUUUUUUACGAUUUUUUUUUUUUCUAAUAUCAACUGAUCUUAGUUUUAUAGUGUUCAUUAGUAAUCAACUCAAAGGCGUUUGAGCGGCGGUUAUUUGAGCUUUUGUUCUUUUUAGAAAUAUGUAUCCUUUUUCUUGCAAUUAUUACCACUAAUAGUUAUUUUGUUAUAUUGCUGAUUAUCAUUAUCUUCCUUAUUUUUUUAAGUAUUAUUAUCACCAGUGUUAUCAGUGCCAUUAUUGUUGAUAACCUAUUCAUUGGUAAUGUUAUCACCAUAAUCAUUAUCAUCAUUACUGUUACUGCCAUCAUUAUUGUUAUCUUGCUGAUCAUUAGCAUAAUUAUUUUCAUUAAUUUUGCCGUAACGAUCAAUAUCAUUGUUACGGAAGACGGCUUGUAUCGCGCCUACAGAAAGGAGCGCCGUUAAUCGUUAUCAUUAUAUUUGUAUUUAUAAACGCCAAAUUUCAUUCACUAUAAAAUACAACAACACUUCCCCAUUUGUGAAUUUUCUAUUUUUCGUGAUAAUUCUAAAUAUUAUAUAUUGUUUGAAAUCGCCACUAAUAUAUUGAACAUAUUCAUUUAUUUAUUCAUUUUUUAAACAAUAGUGUCCGUAAAUAUUACAAAUCUUUUUAGAUACUGCUGGACAUAUAUU
Molecule: long non-coding RNA, 1648 nt
Organism: Penaeus indicus
Lineage: Eukaryota; Metazoa; Arthropoda; Malacostraca; Decapoda; Penaeidae
Exons: 2
Source: RefSeq, a predicted model, not a curated record